AUGUGUGAUCAACAUCAAGAAUCCAUGCAGCACCUGAUGUUAGAAUGUAGCUUUGCAAAUCAGAUUUGGCUGGCGGUAGGCAGACUUGCCAACAAGGAGGUGGUUCAGCACAGGUAUGGGGAAUCGCUUGAGCAAUGGUGCCUGCGGCAGGAGGAUGUCUCGGCUAACCGGAAAGCGCACAGAGCGAAGUGUCUACUGGUCAUGUGGACAAUAUGGAAGCAUAGGAUUGAUGUGGUGUUUAAUGGAGCAACGCCAUCAUUUCAACAAGCCAUGCAACGGAUUCAUGAGGAAGGACAACUGUGGGCGAAGCAGGCCUCUUCAAGGAGGAUAAUAUCGGGUUCGAGGUAG
RNAcentral lists this ribosomal RNA (348 nucleotides) under Triticum aestivum (bread wheat). Its description in RNAcentral is "partial small subunit ribosomal RNA". Lineage: Eukaryota; Viridiplantae; Streptophyta; Magnoliopsida; Poales; Poaceae. The record is from RNAcentral.